UCCAGGGAUGGGAAUCGAACCCACAAUGUUCCGCUUACCGGGCAGAUGCCAUGCCCACUAGGCUAAAACGCCAUCCCUGG
RNAcentral lists this transfer RNA (80 nucleotides) under Cordylochernes scorpioides. Its description in RNAcentral is "tRNA-Thr". The record is from RNAcentral. Lineage: Eukaryota; Metazoa; Arthropoda; Arachnida; Pseudoscorpiones; Chernetidae.